This 482-nucleotide ribosomal RNA is filed under the name uncultured bacterium. RNAcentral's name for it is "partial 16S ribosomal RNA". It matches the Rfam family "Bacterial small subunit ribosomal RNA", at positions 30 to 507 of the family's 1533-position model. The record is from RNAcentral.
AUUGAACGCUGGCGGCAUGCUUUACACAUGCAAGUCGAACGGUAACAGGCCGCAAGGUGCUGACGAGUGGCGAACGGGUGAGUAAUGCAUCGGAACGUGCCCAGUCGUGGGGGAUAACUACUCGAAAGAGUAGCUAAUACCGCAUACGAUCUAUGGAUGAAGGCGGGGGACCGUAAGGCCUCGCGCGAUUGGAGCGGCCGAUGUCAGAUUAGGUAGUUGGUGGGGUAAAGGCUCACCAAGCCAACGAUCUGUAGCUGGUCUGAGAGGACGACCAGCCACACUGGGACUGAGACACGGCCCAGACUCCUACGGGAGGCAGCAGUGGGGAAUUUUGGACAAUGGGCGCAAGCCUGAUCCAGCAAUGCCGCGUGCAGGAAGAAGGCCUUCGGGUUGUAAACUGCUUUUGUACGGAACGAAACGGCUCUGGUUAAUACCCGGGGCUAAUGACGGUACCGUAAGAAUAAGCACCGGCUAACUACGUG